RNAcentral lists this ribosomal RNA (483 nucleotides) under uncultured bacterium. RNAcentral's name for it is "bacterial SSU rRNA". It matches the Rfam family "Bacterial small subunit ribosomal RNA", at positions 379 to 874 of the family's 1533-position model. The record is from RNAcentral.
UAAUCUGACCAGCGACGCCGCGUGCGGGAUGAAGGCCUUCGGGUUGUAAACCGCUUUCAGCAGGGAAGAAGCGAAAGUGACGGUACCUGCAGAAGAAGCACCGGCUAACUAUGUGCCAGCAGCCGCGGUAAUACAUAGGGUGCAAGCGUUGUCCGGAAUUAUUGGGCGUAAAGAGCUCGUAGGUGGUUCGUCACGUCGGAUGUGAAACUCUGGGGCUUAACCCCAGACCUGCAUUCGAUACGGGCGAGCUUGAGUAUGGUAGGGGAGUCUGGAAUUCCUGGUGUAGCGGUGGAAUGCGCAGAUAUCAGGAGGAACACCAAUGGCGAAGGCAGGACUCUGGGCCAUUACUGACACUGAGGAACGAAAGCGUGGGGAGCGAACAGGAUUAGAUACCCUGGUAGUCCACGCCGUAAACGGUGGGCACUAGUUGUGGGGACCUUCCACGGUCUCUGCGACGCAACUAACGCAUUAAGUGCCCCGCCU